UACGUAGGAGGCAAGCGUUGUCCGGAGUUAUUGGGCGUAAAGCGCUCGCAGGCGGCCCGAUGCGUCGUGCGUGAAACACCCCGGCUCAACUGGGGAGGGUCGUGCGAUACGGUCGGGCUUGAGGCCAGUAGGGGGAUGCGGAAUUCCGGGUGUAGUGGUGGAAUGCGUAGAGAUCCGGAGGAACACCAGCGGCGAAGGCGGCAUCCUGGACUGGUACUGACGCUCAUGAGCGAAAGCGUGGGGAGCGAUCCGG
This 253-nucleotide ribosomal RNA is filed under the name uncultured bacterium. RNAcentral's name for it is "partial 16S ribosomal RNA". It matches the Rfam family "Bacterial small subunit ribosomal RNA", at positions 524 to 776 of the family's 1533-position model. The record is from RNAcentral.